CCUACGGUGUGCAGCAGUGGGGAAUAUUGCACCAUGGGGGAAACCCUGAUGCAGCGACGCCGCGUGAGCGAUGAAGUAUUUCGGUAUGUAAAGCUCUAUCAGCAGGGAAGAAAAUGACGGUACCUGACUAAGAAGCCCCGGCUAACUACGUGCCAGCAGCCGCGGUAAUACGUAGGGGGCAAGCGUUAUCCGGAUUUACUGGGUGUAAAGGGAGCGUAGACGGCUGUGCAAGCCAGAUGUGAAAGCCCGGGGCUCAACCCCGGGACUGCAUUUGGAACUGUGUGGCUGGAGUGUCGGAGAGGCAGGCGGAAUUCCGAGUGUAGCGGGGAAAUGCGUAGAUAUUAGGAGGAACACCAGUGGCGAAGGCGGCCUGCUGGACGAUGACUGACGUUGAGGCUCGAAAGCGUGGGGAGCAAACAGGAUUAGAUACCCUGGUAGUC
This 440-nucleotide ribosomal RNA is filed under the name uncultured bacterium. RNAcentral's name for it is "partial 16S ribosomal RNA". It matches the Rfam family "Bacterial small subunit ribosomal RNA", at positions 338 to 795 of the family's 1533-position model. The record is from RNAcentral.